UGAGGUAUUGUAUCGACCUACCACUUGAUGGUGAAAUUCCUACUCCACAUGGAGUCAAUGAGCUUCAAGGAAACCAGCAGCUUGCAAAGGAAUGCUACAUGCCAACUUUACAUAGAGCAACACCCAUGGAACAGUCGGUAGAUGAGUUGGACCCACCAGACGAGCUAACUGAACGAAGAAGUCAGUUAGUGGAAGACCUAAUCCUGGUGCCCAUUGAUGAAGAUCCGAAUAAAGUGGUAAAGAUCAGUUCAAACCUAUGUGAAGAGGAUCGUCGGCACCUCAUCUCCUUCCUAUGGGCC
This 299-nucleotide long non-coding RNA is filed under the name Elaeis guineensis (African oil palm). Its description in RNAcentral is "long non-coding RNA (EGUI_LNC013785)". Lineage: Eukaryota; Viridiplantae; Streptophyta; Magnoliopsida; Arecales; Arecaceae. The record is from RNAcentral.